Molecule: small nuclear RNA, 104 nt
Organism: Jaculus jaculus (lesser Egyptian jerboa)
Lineage: Eukaryota; Metazoa; Chordata; Mammalia; Rodentia; Dipodidae
Source: Ensembl
GGGCUCGCUUCAGCAGCACAUAGACUCAAAUUAGAACAAUGCAGAGAUUAGCAUGGCCCCUGCACAAGGAUGACUCGAAAAUUCGUGAAGCAUUCCAUAUUUUA